RNAcentral lists this small RNA (111 nucleotides) under Salmonella enterica subsp. enterica serovar Derby. RNAcentral's name for it is "partial RtT sRNA". It matches the Rfam family "RtT RNA", at positions 21 to 130 of the family's 130-position model. Rfam says of the family: This family represents a bacterial cis-regulatory element known as RtT RNA. RNAcentral also lists the same sequence under 6 other names. The record is from RNAcentral. Lineage: Bacteria; Pseudomonadati; Pseudomonadota; Gammaproteobacteria; Enterobacterales; Enterobacteriaceae.
GAUGAGAAGCUUCGACCAAGGUUCGAUUCGAGCGCAGCGAGAAAGCGUUGCCGCAGGCAACGACCCGAAGGGCGAAGCGCGCAGCGCUGAGUCAUCCUUCCCCCACCACCA